Molecule: ribosomal RNA, 253 nt
Filed under: uncultured bacterium
Lineage: Bacteria
Description: partial 16S ribosomal RNA
Rfam family: Bacterial small subunit ribosomal RNA
Source: RNAcentral
GACAGAGGGUGCAAACGUUGUUCGGAAUUACUGGGCGUAAAGCGCGUGUAGGCGGCUCGGCAAGUCGGGUGUGAAAGCCCUGGGCUUAACCUAGGAAGUGCACUCGAAACUGCCAAGCUUGAGUUCUGGAGAGGAAGGCGGAAUUCUCGGUGUAGAGGUGAAAUUCGUAGAUAUCGAGAGGAACACCGGUGGCGAAGGCGGCCUUCUGGACAGCAACUGACGCUGAGGCGCGAAAGCGUGGGGAGCAAACAGG